GAUGAACGCUGGCGGCGUGCCUAAUACAUGCAAGUCGAGCGAACAGACGAGGAGCUUGCUCCUCUGACGUUAGCGGCGGACGGGUGAGUAACACGUGGAUAACCUACCUAUUAGACUGGGAUAACUUCGGGAAACCGGAGCUAAUACCGGAUAAUAUAUUGAACCGCAUGGUUCAAUAGUGAAAGACGGUUUUGCUGUCACUUAUAGAUGGAUCCGCGCCGCAUUAGCUAGUUGGUAAGGUAACGGCUUACCAAGGCAACGAUGCGUAGCCGACCUGAGAGGGUGAUCGGCCACACUGGAACUGAGACACGGUCCAGACUCCUACGGGAGGCAGCAGUAGGGAAUCUUCCGCAAUGGGCGAAAGCCUGACGGAGCAACGCCGCGUGAGUGAUGAAGGUCUUCGGAUCGUAAAACUCUGUUAUUAGGGAAGAACAAAUGUGGAAGUAACUAUGCACGUCUUGACGGUACCUAAUCAGAAAGCCACGGCUAACUACGUG
This 497-nucleotide ribosomal RNA is filed under the name uncultured bacterium. RNAcentral describes it as "partial 16S ribosomal RNA". It matches the Rfam family "Bacterial small subunit ribosomal RNA", at positions 28 to 507 of the family's 1533-position model. The record is from RNAcentral.